GACGAACGCUGGCGGCGUGCUUAACACAUGCAAGUCGAACGGAAGGGCCCUGCUUUUGUGGGGUGCUCGAGUGGCGAACGGGUGAGUAACACGUGAGUAACCUGCCCUUGACUUUGGGAUAACUUCAGGAAACUGGGGCUAAUAUCGGAUAGGAGCUCCUGCUGCAUGGUGGGGGUUGGAAAGUUUCGGCGGUUGGGGAUGGACUCGCGGCUUAUCAGCUUGUUGGUGGGGUAGUGGCUUACCAAGGCUUUGACGGGUAGCCGGCCUGAGAGGGUGACCGGCCACAUUGGGACUGAGAUACGGCCCAGACUCCUACGGGAGGCAGCAGUGGGGAAUAUUGCACAAUGGGCGGAAGCCUGAUGCAGCAACGCCGCGUGCGGGAUGACGGCCUUCGGGUUGUAAACCGCUUUCGCCUGUGACGAAGCGUGAGUGACGGUAAUGGGUAAAGAAGCACCGGCUAACUACGUG
RNAcentral lists this ribosomal RNA (468 nucleotides) under uncultured bacterium. RNAcentral describes it as "partial 16S ribosomal RNA". It matches the Rfam family "Bacterial small subunit ribosomal RNA", at positions 28 to 507 of the family's 1533-position model. The record is from RNAcentral.